This 256-nucleotide ribosomal RNA is filed under the name uncultured bacterium. Its description in RNAcentral is "partial 16S ribosomal RNA". It matches the Rfam family "Bacterial small subunit ribosomal RNA", at positions 524 to 776 of the family's 1533-position model. The record is from RNAcentral.
GACGUAGGGGGCCAGCGUUGCUCGGAAUUACUGGGUGUAAAGGGUUCGUAGGCGGUGUGGCAAGUCGGGAGUGAAAAUCUCUGGGCUCAACCCAGAGUCUGCUUCCGAAACUGCUGUGCUUGAGUGUGGGAGAGGCGCGUGGAAUUGCAGGUGUAGCGGUGAAAAUGCGUAGAUAUCUGCAGGAAACACCCCGUGCGAAGGCGGCUCUCUGGGGACGGUACUGACGCUGAGAGCGAAAAGCUGGGGGAGCAACAGG